Chenopodium quinoa (quinoa) is the source of this 3128-nucleotide RNA transcript. It is a transcript of the gene named syntaxin-32-like, with no coding region annotated. The record is from RefSeq and is a predicted model, not a curated record. NCBI's taxonomy places the organism in Eukaryota, Viridiplantae, Streptophyta, Magnoliopsida, Caryophyllales, Amaranthaceae. The transcript has 2 exons.
GAAGAGUGCGUUAUGACCCGUGGCCGCCUGCCCGGUGGGGGCGGCUCCUCCGUUGUGGGUAAACGGGAAACCCGACUCUACGAACCCGAGGAAAGGCUGCACAGCAGUAGUAGGGGCGUUAAGACCGGAGCUUUUUGUAGUGCUAGCAAGAAUGCAAGUGAAUCAAUUUCAUUCCCUAGCGAGUGAAGUGCUUACGCCCCUUUAGAGAGAGGGGCCAGCAAAAGAACUCGUUCUUCCAUUUUGAGAUCUUUAAAUUCGUAAGAUCAUGGUUAUGCUACUUAGGCACGUUAUCUCGGUAGUAAGGCAAGGAAAUCAUAAAGACCGGGAGCUGGGAAAAGACGCUCACUCAUACUGGCAGAAGGCAUUUUUAAAGAUAGCGGACAAGCAGAAGAAGAAAUAGAUUGGUAGCGCUAACGACCUCCAUAGCAUAAGGGGGAAGAAGUAAACCUUUCUUCUGGUCAAUCAAGUGCCCUUCCCUGGGAGGGUAAAAAUAACUACUAUGGGUUUUGUUUCAUUUUUUGAAAUUAACUAUUUCUAGGGUUUUAAAAUUCUUUUGAUUUUUCGGCUUUUCUGGUUUUACUUAGUUGGGAUUUGGGAUAUUGACGAUUUUAGGUGAGUAAAUAUUUCAAUUUGUUUGCAAGUUUACCCAAUUUCAAUCCCUAAUUUCGUCCCCAUUAAAAUCAAAAUUUCGUAUUAAUUUUCAAUUUAAUUUUACAGUAUACUCAAUUUAGGGUUCUUCCAAUGUGAAUAAUUGAACUAUUAAAUAAAUUGGGCUAUUUCUAGGGUUUAUUAUCCAUUGAAGGCUUUCAGCGUGUUAUGAGCUUAAUCUCCUCCAUUAAACCAGCUUCUUGAGAAAAUUAGCUGUUAGGGAAUCUCAGCCAUUGUUGCAACAACAGAAUCAACAGCAGCAACAGAUGGUUCCAUUACAAGAAACUUGUAUGCAGAGCAGAGCUGAAUCACUUCAGAAUGUGGAUUCUACAAUUCACGAAUUGAAUAAUAUAUUUACACCAUUGGCAACAAUGGUAUUACAACAAGGACAUAUUACAAUAAGGUUUGCAAUCGCAUCCUGUAGCUUAAGAUGGCUGUUUUGACUGAUACAACUAUGUGCUUUUCAUUUUCUUGUCUUUGUAGUUGCCUCUCAAGUUAUUUUUAAUAGAAUUUAAAGCAUUUAAUAUUUGCUUGUAUUGGUUUAUUGCAUCUUUUGCUGGACUUUGAUUUAAUGACGCCGUAACUAUCAAGUUGAUUGCCUUUUCAAUUUGAUGGGAUGUGGUUAUAACACAAUCUUGCUACUUAGUUGCCAAUUGCCAACUCCUCUCUAUAAUUAUCAAAAUUAUAUUUUGUUUUCUUCUCUACAAUGCUUAAGUAUUGUAAUAUUUAUGGAGUUAUUAUGUUUUUUUUUUGUAGUGAGAGUACAACAAUUUUCAGGUAUUGAGUUUGAUUUUGGUUUCAAUUAUACUUCUUGUUGCCGUCGUUAUGUUGUCAAGAGGUUCAUGCUCGCGUUAUUGACAACAGUGUGCUUCUUGGUAAUGGUUUUUCAGAAUUUUAAUUUGGAUGUUAUUCCCUGUUUUUGAUUUUUGAAAUUUUGUUUCUACUUCUUGUGUGGGAGGUUAGAUUAAGGAAAUUUCAGAAGUGGUUUCGGGAAUAAGUGUUGAAUUUAAAGGACAAAGUGGUGAACCCCAGAAGGAGGUAGAGUAGCAAGUCAAUGAUGGGAAAAAAGUCAUUGAUUUUGACGCACAAGAAGAGGUUACUGAGAUGUUGAAUGACAGUAAGAAGGUGGACUUCCACAGCUUCAGUUGAAGGGAUCUCCAAAAUCUGUGUCAGAAAAACAAGAAACCCGCCAACACUACCAAUGCUGCAAUGGCUGCUUUGUUUGAAUCUCUCGAAAUUGUAAGUUUCUUUUGCUACCAUUUCUUAAUUUGGCUGUUAAUACCUAAACCGUACGUCUAAAUUUUUGUAUAGCCGUCUUUGGAAGCCAAUGACUACAUUUUUGUAUAUUAGGUGUGAACCGAAUGCCAUAUUUAGUAGCCAUAGUUGUAGCUCAAUCACUAUGAUCUUGAUGUCAUUCACUUCUUUGAUUGCUUAGGAAAUGAUUUCAAAGGAUUUUAAGGUUAAGGCUCAUGCAAAAUAUAUUGAGUAGUUGUACUGACUACUCACUCUAUUUACUAAUAAAAUUCUCCUAAGGGUUUUUGGCUCAAAGAUUUAAAAUUUAAAAAUGGAGGGGUAAGGCUUUAGAUAGAUAGUGUAAAAAGGAAAUUAUUAUAUUGACAGUGUAGACUGUAGUGUAAAAGAAAGAUAAACCUUUUUUUUUAAGACGCACAUCACUUGAUAAAAUUGGGAUGAAUAUGGCAUAUAUAAGAUGUUGAUUUGUAAGUAGAGGGAGUAUAACUUGAUUUUACCGGGUGGGUGACAGGUUUGAGAAGGUGGGUAUAUGGGGCAGGGUGGGUGCACAUAGGGUGAAUGGCUCUUAAUUUAUUCUUGGUCCAUGGCCAAUGGCUGGGUAUAGAUUUCAUGUCUUUUAUUUACAUCACUAACUUGUGAAAUCCUGCCCUUAGUGGUCUGCUGUCUCUCCUGCCGUUUCCCUGGUAAUAUGUGACGUUGCAAUCUUGCAUGAAGUGUGAUAGGAGUGUAGAAUCAAAGUUUUUCUUUAUUUGUGAUCUUGUCAUUGAGACAGGGACAAGCAAAAGAGUUUUCGCACUGUCAGAGCCAGAUGAAGCAUCAAACAGAUGAACUUAAUAGAUCGGCAGUAGAGGUAACUGUAACUCUUGUGCACGAAUCGUCAGAUGCACCUAAUAAAACAGAAGUAGUGAGACCUCCUGCGCUCACAUUAGAUGAACGUAAAAGCAAUAGAAGUUAAUUAUGUACAUGAAUCUCCUAUUGAGAUUAAUCUAUUUGGUAUUGUAAUAUUGAAUCUUGUGAAAGCACAUCAUUCUAUGGAUGCUGAUUGCUAUGAAUUUGCUGUCAUUCUCCAGCUAUAACCAUGAAGAUCUAGAGGAAUAUAUUCUGCACCUUCUGGUAUUGUAGCACCUUUCUAGAAUGCUAUACUAAUCAUCUGUUUGAGGAUGCCAAAAAAAAAGGGCAUAUAGAACUAGCUUGAAAUGGUCAAAUUCGUCAAAAUCACUUACUGUUUU